Molecule: ribosomal RNA, 440 nt
Filed under: uncultured bacterium
Lineage: Bacteria
Description: partial 16S ribosomal RNA
Rfam family: Bacterial small subunit ribosomal RNA
Source: RNAcentral
CCUACGGGAGGCAGCAGUGGGGAAUAUUGCACAAUGGGGGAAACCCUGAUGCAGCGACGCCGCGUGAGUGAAGAAGUAUUUCGGUACGUAAAGCUCUAUCAGCAGGGAAGAAAAUGACGGUACCUGACUAAGAGGCCCCGGCUAACUACGUGCCAGCAGCCGCGGUAAUACGUAGGGGGCAAGCGUUAUCCGGAUUUACUGGGUGUAAAGGGAGCGUAGACGGCAGCGCAAGUCUGGAGUGAAAUCCCAUGGCUUAACCAUGGAACUGCAUUGGAAACUGUGCAGCUAGAGUGCAGGAGAGGUAAGCGGAAUUCCUAGUGUAGCGGUGAAAUGCGUAGAUAUUAGGAGGAACACCAGUGGCGAAGGCGGCUUACUGGACUGUAACUGACGUUGAGGCUCGAAAGCGUGGGGAGCAAACAGGAUUAGAUACCCUGGUAGUC